GAUGAACGCUAGCGGCAGGCUUAACACAUGCAAGUCGAGGGGUAUAGGGAGCUUGCUUCCUAGAGACCGGCGCACGGGUGCGUAACGCGUAUGCAAUCUACCUUUUGCAGAGGGAUAGCCCAGAGAAAUUUGGAUUAAUACCUCAUAGUAUGUGAGAAUGGCAUCAUUUCACAUUAAAGUCACAACGGCAAAAGAUGAGCAUGCGUCCCAUUAGCUUGUUGGUAAGGUAACGGCUUACCAAGGCAACGAUGGGUAGGGGUCCUGAGAGGGAGAUCCCCCCAACUGGUACUGAGACACGGACCAGACUCCUACGGGAGGCAGCAGUGAGGAAUCUUGGACAAUGGGNGCAAGCCUGAUCCAGCCAUGCCGCGUGCAGGAAGAAGCA
Molecule: ribosomal RNA, 385 nt
Filed under: uncultured bacterium
Lineage: Bacteria
Description: bacterial SSU rRNA
Rfam family: Bacterial small subunit ribosomal RNA
Source: RNAcentral